UUCCGUCUUGUGUUCUUCCAUCAUCAUCAUCAUCAUCAUCAUCAUCCCAUACAGCUACUUAUAUAUCUCAUUAUGUUCAUUUGAGGGAUUAAACAGUGUGUUUUCAAGCUGGAUAAGCGAGCGCAAGCGAGCGAUUGAGGCUUGUAUGAAAGAUUGAAACAUGUGCAAAGGUAUAAGCGAUGAGACAUUUGUCACCAUAAUCCUCCAUCAUUAGCUUAUUACCUAAUGAAACGAGAAAGAUUCUUGAACGUGGGUAUAAAAACGUUGAACAUGGUUGGAAAAAAAAAAAAAAAUUCAAACUUUUAACCGCUUAGUUUCUCCAACUCGCUCACACUCAACUAUCUGAACAACGGAGUUCAAGAUUAGAACUAUAAGGUUAAAAGUUAGUGAUCGAAGAUUAGAUGUUCAGCUUAGAGUUAGUUGAAAAAUUAACUAGGUAUUUGAAAAAUAUACUUUAUGUUUAAAUGUGGG
Molecule: small RNA, 471 nt
Filed under: Histoplasma ohiense
Lineage: Eukaryota; Fungi; Ascomycota; Eurotiomycetes; Onygenales; Ajellomycetaceae
Description: hypothetical lncRNA
Source: RNAcentral